RNAcentral lists this ribosomal RNA (497 nucleotides) under uncultured bacterium. RNAcentral's name for it is "partial 16S ribosomal RNA". It matches the Rfam family "Bacterial small subunit ribosomal RNA", at positions 28 to 507 of the family's 1533-position model. The record is from RNAcentral.
GAUGAACGCUGGCGGCGUGCCUAAUACAUGCAAGUCGAGCGAACAGACGAGGAGCUUGCUCCUCUGACGUUAGCGGCGGACGGGUGAGUAACACGUGGAUAACCUACCUAUAAGACUGGGAUAACUUCGGGAAACCGGAGCUAAUACCGGAUAAUAUAUUGAACCGCAUGGUUCAAUAGUGAAAGACGGUUUUGCUGUCACUUAUAGAUGGAUCCGCGCCGCAUUAGCUAGUUGGUAAGGUAACGGCUUACCAAGGCAACGAUGCGUAGCCGACCUGAGAGGGUGAUCGGCCACACUGGAACUUAGACACGGUCCAGACUCCUACGGGAGGCAGCAGUGGGGAAUCUUCCGCAAUGGGCGAAAGCCUGACGGAGCAACGCCGCGUGAGUGAUGAAGGUCUUCGGAUCGUAAAACUCUGUUAUUAGGGAAGAACAAAUGUGUAAGUAACUAUGCACGUCUUGACGGUACCUAAUCAGAAAGCCACGGCUAACUACGUG